ACGCUCGACACCUACGGGGGGCAGCAGUGGGGAAUAUUGCACAAUGGGGGAAACCCUGAUGCAGCAACGCCGCGUGAGUGAAGAAGUAUUUCGGUAUGUAAAGCUCUAUCAGCAGGGAAGAUAAUGACGGUACCUGACUAAGAAGCUCCGGCUAAAUACGUGCCAACAGCCGCGGUAAUCUGAGCGGGCUGGCAAGGC
This 198-nucleotide ribosomal RNA is filed under the name uncultured bacterium. RNAcentral describes it as "partial 16S ribosomal RNA". It matches the Rfam family "Bacterial small subunit ribosomal RNA", at positions 328 to 539 of the family's 1533-position model. The record is from RNAcentral.